UAUAGGGUAGCUCACUGGUUAAGAUGUUGGACUACUGAUCGGAAGGUCAUGAGUUCAAUUCUCAGCACUGACA
Non-coding RNA from Pangasius djambal, 73 nucleotides. Lineage: Eukaryota; Metazoa; Chordata; Actinopteri; Siluriformes; Pangasiidae. The record is from the annotation of a GenBank genome assembly.